Molecule: small RNA, 107 nt
Filed under: Marmota monax (woodchuck)
Lineage: Eukaryota; Metazoa; Chordata; Mammalia; Rodentia; Sciuridae
Source: RNAcentral
GCCGGGCAUGGUGGUGCGUGCCUGUAAUCCCAGAGGCUCAGGAAGCUGAGGCAGGAGGAUUGCAAGUUCAAAGCCAGCCUCAGCAACUUAGCAAGACCCUGUCUCAA